This 726-nucleotide ribosomal RNA is filed under the name Rhizocarpon lusitanicum. RNAcentral's name for it is "partial large subunit ribosomal RNA". The stretch from base 1 to 268 matches the Rfam family "Bacterial large subunit ribosomal RNA", at positions 999 to 1235 of the family's 2925-position model. The record is from RNAcentral. Lineage: Eukaryota; Fungi; Ascomycota; Lecanoromycetes; Rhizocarpales; Rhizocarpaceae.
UAAGGUUGUAUGUCUAAAGGGAAACAGCCCAGAACAAGAGUGGAAGGUUCCAAAAUUAUUGUUCAGUGAAAAAUAAGGAAGUAUUUUUCAUACACAACCAGGAAAUAGGCUUAGAAGCGGCCAUUUUUUGAAGACCUCGUAACAGAGCACUGGUUUAAUAUAAAUAAGUUAAAAGCGUCAAAGAUUUAACGGAUCUAAACAAUAUACCUAAACCUUGUCCAUAAAUUAAGAUAUUUUUGAAAAAUAUCUUAAUUUAUGGGGUAGCGGAACAUUGGGUUAAUCUUAGAAUUCAUUUUUUCAAAAUGAAUUAAGCUUGUAUUAUAAGUAUAAUCUUAUAAUUCACUUUUUCAAAAUGAACUAAGCUUAUAUUUAUUAUAUAGUAUAUUUAAGCAAGAUGACCCCAAGUGAUAAUGCUGACAUGAGUAACGAAAAAAGGGACAACCCCUCGCCUUAAGCUUAUGGUAUUUUUAUUAAACUAACGGCCCCUAAGUUUAUUAUAUUCCCAUAACCGAUUCAAUGAUGGGACCAGCCAUUCCUCCUAUACCCAGAGCAACCAAUUCUCCAAGAGAGUGCAACGGAUAAUAAGUAAAUUAAAUAAUUAAUAGAAACUAGAAAAAUUAUAGAUUUAAUAGUUAUUUUGUAACUAAAGUGACAAAUGCUCUGGAAAAAUGUAAAACUACUGACGUGUUAGAGAGUUGGCGAGGUUCAACCCUUGUCCAUUAAUAU